AUGAAUCCUCCUCACACAGACGUGCCUCCCUACUUGGCGCUGCAUGAGAGGGAAGGGGAGAGGGCCAGGGAUCUGUGCACCAGGACUCCAGCCCGCUCAGACUUCAGCUCGCCUGGGAGCCUCACCUGCCAGGUGAACACCCCCUGGGAGCUGCCAGCCCCCGCCGUGCCUGGGGAUGCCCUGCAAGAGGCUUCUGUCUUCCCAGGACACAGGGAAGCCCUCCAGACACCGGGGCCAGGGUGGGAGUGCACUGCACACCUGGAUCACCUCUGGAGCUACCAGUGCUUUGUUUUUUGUAUCAUCUUUCUCACAACUCAACAGUGCUGGCAGGACAACAAACCUGCGACUCUUGACGUUGCCCGCGGACGCUGUGUGUGCGCCUUUCUCACUGCUGAGCUGGGCGGUGUGGUGAGCAGGGCUUGGAAGAUGCUUCUGUUGCACGGGUCCCCAGUGAGGACAGCAGUUAAUAAAGGCAAUCUUGGGCUGAGAACAGAAGGGCUGGCACACUCAGCCACGUCCUCUCCAUCUGGGGCAUUGAACGGCUCCAGACAGGGGAGACCCGGCUGCAUCUCUGGAAGUGACCCUGCGGUGGUUGAAGGCCACUCCGUGGCAUCAGGUUCUGAGAGCUUGAAUCUCCACUCGGAGAGGAGUCCACACAGGAUCUUCCCGUACCCUGCACGUCAGCCCAUCCUACCCAGGAAGAAUCUCCACUUGGAGAGGGGCUCACACAGGAUCGUCCCCGUACCCUGCACGUCAGCCCAUCCUACCCAGGAAGAAUGUCCACUCGGAGAGGGGCCCACACAGGAUCUUCCUCGUCCCCUGCAUGUCAGCCCAUCCUACCCAGGAAGAAUCUCCACUCGGAGAGGGGUCCACACAGGAUCGUCCCCGUACCCUGCACGUCAGCCCAUCCUACCCAGGAAGAAUCUCCACUCGGAGAGGGGCCCACACAGGAUCGUCCCCGUACCCUGCACGUCGGCCCAUCCUACCCAGGAAGAAUCUCCACUCGGAGAGGGGCCCACACAGGAUCGUCCCUGUACCCUGCACGUCAGCCCAUCCUACCCAGGAAGACCACGUGCCCAUUCUGCAGAAAAGGACACUGCGGUUUCUUUCCCUGCUCUCCUUCCUGGCAGGCACGCAGGUAACAUCACAGCCUUGAGCCCCCUCUGCCUCUCUCUGGUUCUGCCCAGUUCUUGUACUGAGGCUCAGUGUCCUUAG
This 1215-nucleotide long non-coding RNA is filed under the name Oryctolagus cuniculus (rabbit). Its description in RNAcentral is "lncRNA (ENSOCUG00000037301.1)". The record is from RNAcentral. Lineage: Eukaryota; Metazoa; Chordata; Mammalia; Lagomorpha; Leporidae.